AAUUUAAUUUGUUAAAAUUGUUAAAUAGUACCAAUUUGAAAAAUAAAUUAUUUAUACCCAUUUGAAAAAUCUUAUUAUAUAAAGUACGGUUUUGAAAGUUACUCAUUCACGAGCUCAUGACACGUGUCAGGUCUAUCAUUGAGAUGUUGAUAUAUGUCAAAAAAGUUUCUUUUAA
RNAcentral lists this small RNA (175 nucleotides) under Arabidopsis thaliana (thale cress). RNAcentral's name for it is "ATSL080560". Lineage: Eukaryota; Viridiplantae; Streptophyta; Magnoliopsida; Brassicales; Brassicaceae. The record is from RNAcentral.